Molecule: ribosomal RNA, 292 nt
Filed under: uncultured bacterium
Lineage: Bacteria
Description: partial 16S ribosomal RNA
Rfam family: Bacterial small subunit ribosomal RNA
Source: RNAcentral
GUGCCAGCCGCCGCGGUAAUACGGAGGGUGCAAGCGUUGUCCGGAAUCACUGGGCGUAAAGGGCGUGCAGGCGGUCUGUUAAGUCUGGUGUGAGAGCCCGGGGCUCAACCCCGGAAGUGCAUUGGAUACUGGCAGACUUGAGUAUGGAAGAGGAAAGCGGAAUUCCGAGUGUAGGAGUGAAAUCCGUAGAUAUUCGGAGGAACACCAGUGGCGAAGGCGGCUUUCUGGACCAAUACUGACGCUGAGACGCGAAAGCGUGGGUAGCAAACAGGAUUAGAUACCCUGGUAGUCC